Molecule: small RNA, 149 nt
Filed under: Salegentibacter holothuriorum
Lineage: Bacteria; Pseudomonadati; Bacteroidota; Flavobacteriia; Flavobacteriales; Flavobacteriaceae
Description: Flavo-1 RNA
Rfam family: Flavo-1 RNA
Source: RNAcentral
UUCCAGCGUUAGGGAUUGCAGUGGAAAUCCUUUUUGUGAGGCACCAAGAACCCGGCCUGUAGCAAGAUGGUAAUACUUUUAGGACAAACCCCUAAAUAUUAAAUCUCGAUUAUCGAGCAAAAAGAUUGCAGCGAAAAGCCCGGCCCGGU